AGCUGCGCAGUGAACACAAAGCGAACUAUUCUUUCGCCUUUUACUAAAGAAUACCGUGUGUUCGCUGCUCUUCAAGCAGCAUACGCCCAUUUUUGGAGGGUUUAUUUCCUUUGGAAAU
Molecule: small nuclear RNA, 118 nt
Filed under: Erythranthe guttata (spotted monkey flower)
Lineage: Eukaryota; Viridiplantae; Streptophyta; Magnoliopsida; Lamiales; Phrymaceae
Description: Mimulus guttatus (spotted monkey flower) U5 spliceosomal RNA
Rfam family: U5 spliceosomal RNA
About the family: U5 RNA is a component of both types of known spliceosome. The precise function of this molecule is unknown, though it is known that the 5' loop is required for splice site selection and p220 binding, and that both the 3' stem-loop and the Sm site are important for Sm protein binding and cap methylation.
Source: Rfam by way of RNAcentral